This 433-nucleotide ribosomal RNA is filed under the name uncultured bacterium. RNAcentral describes it as "partial 16S ribosomal RNA". It matches the Rfam family "Bacterial small subunit ribosomal RNA", at positions 29 to 507 of the family's 1533-position model. The record is from RNAcentral.
AACGAACGCUGGCGGCAUGCCUAACACAUGCAAGUCGAACGAGACCUUCGUGUCUAGUGGCGCACGGGGGUGUAACGCGUGGGAAGCUGCCCUUAGGUUCGGAAUAACUCCCCUAAAGGGGUGCUAAUACCGGAUAAUGUCUUCGGACCAAAGAUUUAUCGCCUUUGGAUGGGCCCGCGUUGGUUUAGCUAGUUGGUAGGGUAAAAGCCUACCAAGGCGACGAUCCAUAGCUGGUCUGAGAGGAUGAUCAGCCACACUGGGACUGAGACACGGCCCAGACUCCUACGGGAGGCAGCAGUGGGGAAUAUUGGACAAUGGGCGAAAGCCUGAUCCAGCAAUGCCGCGUGAGUGAUGAAGGCCUUAGGGUUGUAAAGCUCUUUUACCCGGGAUGAUAAUGACAGUACCGGGAGAAUAAGCUCCGGCUAACUCCGUG